GACGAACGCUGGCGGCGUGCCUAAUACAUGCAAGUCGAGCGAAUGAUGAGAAGCUUGCUUCUCUGAUUUAGCGGCGGACGGGUGAGUAACACGUGGGCAACCUGCCCUGUAGACUGGAAUAACUUCGGGAAACCGGAGCUAAUACCGGAUAAUUCUUUUAGCCUCAUGGCUUUAAGCUAAAAGGCGCUUCGGCGUCACUACAGGAUGGGCCCGCGGUGCAUUAGCUAGUUGGUGAGGUAACGGCUCACCAAGGCAACGAUGCGUAGCCGACCUGAGAGGGUGAGCGGCCACACUGGGACUGAGACACGGCCCAGACUCCUACGGGAGGCAGCAGUAGGGAAUCUUCCGCAAUGGACGAAAGUCUGACGGAGCAACGCCGCGUGAGUGAUGAAGGCUUUCGGGUCGUAAAACUCUGUUGUUAGGGAAGAACAAGUGCUAGUUGAAUAAGCUGGCACCUUGACGGUACCUAACCAGAAAGCCACGGCUAACUACGUGCCAGCCGCCGCCGUAA
RNAcentral lists this ribosomal RNA (511 nucleotides) under uncultured bacterium. RNAcentral describes it as "partial 16S ribosomal RNA". It matches the Rfam family "Bacterial small subunit ribosomal RNA", at positions 28 to 523 of the family's 1533-position model. The record is from RNAcentral.